RNAcentral lists this transfer RNA (68 nucleotides) under Hemitheconyx taylori. RNAcentral's name for it is "tRNA-Thr". The record is from RNAcentral. Lineage: Eukaryota; Metazoa; Chordata; Lepidosauria; Squamata; Eublepharidae.
GUUCUCAUAGCUUACUACCUAAAGCCUUGACGUUGUAACUCAAAGAUGGGGCCCCACCCCUGAGAACA